Molecule: ribosomal RNA, 468 nt
Filed under: uncultured bacterium
Lineage: Bacteria
Description: partial 16S ribosomal RNA
Rfam family: Bacterial small subunit ribosomal RNA
Source: RNAcentral
GACGAACGCUGGCGGCGUGCUUAACACAUGCAAGUCGAACGGAAAGGCCCUGCUUUUGCUGCGUUCUCGAUUGGCGCACGCGUGAGUAACACGUGUGUAUCCUCCCCCUGUCUUUGGGAUAACACCAGGGAACUGCGGCUCUUACCCCAUAUGAUCUCCUGCUGCAUGGUGGGCGUUGGAAAGUUUCGGCCGUUGGGUAUGGUCUCGCGGCUUAUCCGCUUGUUUGUGGGGUAGUGGUUUGCCAAGGCUUUGACUGGUAGCCGGCCUGGGAGGGUGACCGGCGACAUGGCUCCUGCGAUACGGCGCAGUCUCCUACCGGCGGCAGUAGUGGGGAGUAUUGCACAAUGGGCGGACGCCUGAUGCAGCGACGCCGCGUGCGUGAUGACGGCCUUCGGGUUGUAAACAGCUUUCGACGGAGACGAAGAGUGAGUGACGGUAAUGGGUAAAGAAGCAACGGCUAACUACGUG